UCCAUAGUUAGCGCCUUACCACCGAGACCAGAGAUAGUGAUACCCUGAGUCGGCCUUACUUAGGGAUGUAAAGAAUGAAAGAAUCAAGUUGUAAUAAUUAUAUUAAAUCGGAUUGUAUUUGGAAGUUAAAUGUAAUAAGUAUUUGGGAUGUAAAAUGUAUGAAUGUGAAUGCAUGUAAUAACAUAGGAUGUGUUAUGUUGUUUGAUACCUUCCAUUAUGCAAUCUUGAUUGAAAUGUGUUCCUGGUUGGAACUUCGUACAUUGUGUUGAUUGCUAUGCCUUGAACGUACAGGGGAGACUCUGUCCGCAGUACAGGGGAAACCCUGUCCGUUCGGCGAUCUGUUGGCGGCACCGCGAUCCGGCCAAAUAGGCGGGCGGUCGCGGGGCGUGACAGAUAAGAUGGUAUCAGAGCAUAAAGAGAAUAUAAAAAGAAUAAUAGAAAAUGGUUUAGUUGGACCUAGGAGUCCCUAGGAUAGUAAACCAUAGGAGAUUAAGGCUCGUGAGAGACGAGGACUUGUUUCUUUUGGCGAAAAGUUAACUGAUUGGGUUGUGUCAUAAACCUCUAAAACGGAUGUUAGAGGUAGACUCAAGGUGUGGUUUAUUCUCAACAGAGAGUGUUCAUGUUGGGUGCACACAACAUGAAGCUAAGUGAUGAGAAUAGACACCCUUGCGUGACUUUCGCCUGAUUUGAGUCGGUAUUAAGUGUUUCGUGUUCGACCUAGAAGGUCGAGGAUUUAUAAAGUUGUCGCGUUUUAGAAAGCGAUAGCACUGCGUAGGCGAUUUGAGGCGAGCGUAGACUUGGAACUUCGCGAGUUAUGGCAACUCUCAUGACCUUUGAGAAAUUAACGGAAUCCUCGUCGUGUUAGAUCACUUUUGGUCAAAUUGACCAAAGUCCGUCGAGAGAAGUAGUUGGACAAAGUCCAAUUGACAUUCCAACAAUGUUGGAAGGGUUGGAAUUGAGUUCUAAAAGAGUUAGAAGGGUUUUGGCGUUGCUCGGCACGAAUUGGAGUCGAAGCGAUGCAAAAUCGAAAUUCUGGAAUAUGUGUUACCAGUUUAACACCAGGGGUGUACCGGUAUGGCAUGGUUGUAAUGGAGUGAAUUCUCGAGAGCCGAGAGUUGGACUUCGUCCGGGAUCGGCUAGUUAUCGAGUGGGUAUGUAAUAUACCGAAAUUUCGGUAACAAAGUUUCGAACCUUGGUCAAAUUGACCAAAGAGCGAGAUUGGUACGCUUUGGAAAGGCCGAAGGCGUCAAAUAAUGCAAAAGUGCAUUACUGGGGAUCUUCGAGAGCCUUGGAAAUCAAAAUCUGCAAACUGCAGGUUUUCUGUUCUCGGAGACCGGUCCCUGUGGGGAGAGACCGGUCCCCGAACGCGCAGGCAGCAAGAGGAGAGAAAAAUCGGCUAAGUCCUUGGUGGACAGCUCUCGGAGACCGGUCCCUGCUGGAGAGACCGGUCCCCCAAAGAAAGACCGGUUGCAUCAGGUGUGAGCUCUGCUAACUGCGGGGAGAAGCUCUCGGAGACCGGUCCCUCGUCGGGGAGACCGGUCCCCGAACCCAAAAAUGCCCAGUGAGGGCAAUGUAAAAGAAUAAAAGUUGAGGGGCUUGUUUGCACUUACACAACAUGUGGG
RNAcentral lists this long non-coding RNA (1622 nucleotides) under Ananas comosus (pineapple). RNAcentral describes it as "long non-coding RNA (ACOM_LNC044601)". Lineage: Eukaryota; Viridiplantae; Streptophyta; Magnoliopsida; Poales; Bromeliaceae. The record is from RNAcentral.